CAACUUAAAUUUACUUAAAUAUUGAUUUGUUAUCCUGUGCCAGACAGAUGGCUGAUAUUCUGAGAAGAGACCUUGAUGAAAUGAAGUUUUAUGGGAACAAAGAUUUUGAAAACACGUCGCAGUGUUUAGAUUUUAACAAAAAUAAGGCACCAAGGUCGAAAAUAGUUCUAGUUCAUAAUGAAGAAAAUGUCAACCGUUUUCUAGCUUGGCGAUCUCCGCACGCACCCGAAUAUAAUAGACAAAUACAAUACAAUAGUACACAAAACGUAACAUAAAGAACUAAAGACCGAGCAACACGAACUCCAACAAAACGGUAUAUAUUUCAUACAAGUAUAGAACUAUAUGAAGCGUCGUAACUGUUGCGGCGACGUCAAUAACGUUGUCGUUGUUUUUUGUUUUUUUUUACACUCAAGAUUCAACUUUAACAGGGUAUAGCUUGAAAAGUAGCACGGUUGCUAAGGACUUUCUUUGCACCAAUCGAUUCCUCAGACAUUUUAGAAUCGUCUCAUAAAUUUAAAAAAAAAUCGAUUGUCUAAUAUAAUAGAAAAUCUUGGAAAUGUAACAAUUCCUGCCGAAUUUCAC
RNAcentral lists this long non-coding RNA (582 nucleotides) under Mytilus galloprovincialis (Mediterranean mussel). Lineage: Eukaryota; Metazoa; Mollusca; Bivalvia; Mytilida; Mytilidae. The record is from RNAcentral.